AUUGAACGCUGGCGGUAGGCCUAACACAUGCAAGUCGAACGGCGCGGCGGACGGGUGAGUAAUGCCUAGGAAUCUGCCUGGUAGUGGGGGAUAACUUCCGGAAACGGGAGCUAAUAACGCAGACUAGCAGGUGAGCCUAGGUGGGAUUAGCUAGUUGGUGGGGUAAAGGCCUACCAAGGCGACGAUCCGUAACGGGUCUGAGAGGAGGAUCCGUAACACUGGAACGGAGAAACGGUCCAGACUCCUACGGGAGGCAGCAGUGGGGAAUAUUGGACAAUGGGCGAAAGUCUGACCCAGCAAUGCCGCGUGUGUGAAGAAGGUCUUCGGAUUGUAAAGCACUUUAAGUUGGGAGGCGUUACCAACCGAAUAAGCAACGGCUAACUGCGUGCCAGCAGCCGCGGUAAUUC
Molecule: ribosomal RNA, 407 nt
Filed under: uncultured bacterium
Lineage: Bacteria
Description: partial 16S ribosomal RNA
Rfam family: Bacterial small subunit ribosomal RNA
Source: RNAcentral